Lupinus angustifolius (narrow-leaved blue lupine) is the source of this 117-nucleotide small nuclear RNA. It matches the Rfam family "U5 spliceosomal RNA". Rfam says of the family: U5 RNA is a component of both types of known spliceosome. Lineage: Eukaryota; Viridiplantae; Streptophyta; Magnoliopsida; Fabales; Fabaceae. The record is from Rfam.
AGCCGUGUGUUAAGCACAAAGCGAACUAUUCUUUCGCCUUUUACUAAAGAAUACCGUGUGUUUGUCACUCUAAGCGGCAUACGCUUAUUUUUGGAGGUGUCCUUCCUUUGAAGGACC